GUUGUAUGGUUAAGUGACUAAGCGUACACGGUGGAUGCCUUGGCAGUCAGAGGCGAUGAAAGACGUAGUAACUUGCGAUAAGCCCAGAUUAGGUAGUAACAACCAUUUGAGUCUGGGAUUUCUGAAUGGGGAAACCCACUAGCAUAAGCUAGUAUCGUUAUGUGAAUACAUAGCAUAACGAGGCGAACCGGGGGAACUGAAACAUCUAAGUACCCCGAGGAAAA
RNAcentral lists this ribosomal RNA (224 nucleotides) under Vibrio alginolyticus. RNAcentral describes it as "partial 23S ribosomal RNA". It matches the Rfam family "Bacterial large subunit ribosomal RNA", at positions 1 to 220 of the family's 2925-position model. Lineage: Bacteria; Pseudomonadati; Pseudomonadota; Gammaproteobacteria; Vibrionales; Vibrionaceae. The record is from RNAcentral.